GAUGAACGCUGGCGGCGUGCUUAACACAUGCAAGUCGAACGGAAAGGCUCCUGCUUGCAGGGGUACUCGAGUGGCGAACGGGUGAGUAACACGUGGGUGAUCUGCCCUGCACUUCGGGAUAAGCCUGGGAAACUGGGUCUAAUACCGGAUAGGACCACAUUUUGGAUGGUGUGGUGGAAAGUUUUGCGGUGUGGGAUGAGCUCGCGGCCUAUCAGCUUGUUGGUGGGGUAAUGGCCUACCAAGGCGUCGACGGGUAGCCGGCCUGAGAGGGUGUACGGCCACAUUGGGACUGAGGGACGGCCCAGACGCCUACGGGAAGCAGCAGUGGGGAAUAUUGCACAAUGGGGGCAAGCCUGAUGCAGCGACGUCGCGUGGGGGAUGACGGCCUUCGGGUUGUAAACUCCUUUCGAUAGGGACGAAGCGCAAGUGACGGUACCUGGAGAAGAAGCACCGGCUAACUACGUG
Molecule: ribosomal RNA, 465 nt
Filed under: uncultured bacterium
Lineage: Bacteria
Description: partial 16S ribosomal RNA
Rfam family: Bacterial small subunit ribosomal RNA
Source: RNAcentral